GAUGAACGCUGACAGAAUGCUUAACACAUGCAAGUCUACUUGAAUUUGGGUUUUUAACUUAGGUUUGGGUGGCGGACGGGUGAGUAACGCGUAAAGAACUUGCCUCACAGCUAGGGACAACAUUUAGAAAUGAAUGCUAAUACCUAAUAUUAUGAUAAUAGGGCAUCCUAUAAUUAUGAAAGCUAUAUGCGCUGUGAGAGAGCUUUGCGUCCCAUUAGCUAGUUGGAGAGGUAACAGCUCACCAAGGCGAUGAUGGGUAGCCGGCCUGAGAGGGUGAUCGGCCACAAGGGGACUGAGACACGGCCCUUACUCCUACGGGAGGCAGCAGUGGGGAAUAUUGGACAAUGGACCGAGAGUCUGAUCCAGCAAUUCUGUGUGCACGAUGAAGUUUUUCGGAAUGUAAAGUGCUUUCAGUUGGGAAGAAAGAAAUGACGGUACCAACAGAAGAAGUGACGGCUAAAUACGUGCCAGCAGCCGCGGUAAUACGUAUGUCACGAGCGUUAUCCGGAUUUAUUGGGCGUAAAGCGCGUCUAGGUGGUUAUAUAAGUCUGAUGUGAAAAUGCAGGGCUCAACUCUGUAUUGCGUUGGAAACUGUAUAACUAGAGUACUGGAGAGGUAAGCGGAACUACAAGUGUAGAGGUGAAAUUCGUAGAUAUUUGUAGGAAUGCCGAUGGGGAAGCCAGCUUACUGGACAGAUACUGACGCUGAAGCGCGAAAGCGUGGGUAGCAAACAGG
This 735-nucleotide ribosomal RNA is filed under the name uncultured Fusobacterium sp. RNAcentral's name for it is "bacterial SSU rRNA". It matches the Rfam family "Bacterial small subunit ribosomal RNA", at positions 28 to 776 of the family's 1533-position model. The record is from RNAcentral. Lineage: Bacteria; Fusobacteriati; Fusobacteriota; Fusobacteriia; Fusobacteriales; Fusobacteriaceae.